CCAAAUCUUUUGUGAAUCAUGUGAGGUGACAUUCACAUGAAACAGGUAAUGCAAGAAUUAAUGUUCUUAUUAUAUGUUUCCCAAGACUACAAUGAUCGGUACAAGGAAAAGUUUUCUAAACCUGCAUUUCGCUUCUCCUGUAUAUCCAUCCU
Molecule: long non-coding RNA, 152 nt
Organism: Hibiscus syriacus
Lineage: Eukaryota; Viridiplantae; Streptophyta; Magnoliopsida; Malvales; Malvaceae
Exons: 3
Source: RefSeq, a predicted model, not a curated record